GAUGAAACGCUGGCGGCGUGCUUAACACAUGCAAGUCGAACGGGAAUUACUUUAUUGAAACUUCGGUCGAUUUAAUUUAAUUCUAGUGGCGGACGGGUGAGUAACGCGUGGGUAAACCUGCCUUAUACAGGGGGAUAACAGUCAGAAAUGACUGCUAAUACCGCAUAAGCGCACGGAACCGCAUGGUUUUGUGUGAAAAACUCCGGCGGUGUGAGAUGGACCCGCGUUGGAUUAGCCAGUUGGCAGGUAACGGCUACCAAGCGACGAUCCAUAGCCGGCCUGAGAGGUGAACGGCC
This 296-nucleotide ribosomal RNA is filed under the name uncultured bacterium. Its description in RNAcentral is "partial 16S ribosomal RNA". It matches the Rfam family "Bacterial small subunit ribosomal RNA", at positions 27 to 309 of the family's 1533-position model. The record is from RNAcentral.